RNAcentral lists this ribosomal RNA (745 nucleotides) under uncultured bacterium. Its description in RNAcentral is "bacterial SSU rRNA". It matches the Rfam family "Bacterial small subunit ribosomal RNA", at positions 33 to 773 of the family's 1533-position model. The record is from RNAcentral.
ACGCUGGCGGCAGGCCUAACACAUGCAAGUCGAGCGGUAGAGAGAAGCUUGCUUCUCUUGAGAGCGGCGGACGGGUGAGUAAUGCCUAGGAAUCUGCCUGGUAGUGGGGGAUAACGUUCGGAAACGGACGCUAAUACCGCAUACGUCCUACGGGAGAAAGCAGGGGACCUUCGGGCCUUGCGCUAUCAGAUGAGCCUAGGUCGGAUUAGCUAGUUGGUGAGGUAAUGGCUCACCAGGGCGACGAUCCGUAACUGGUCUGAGAGGAUGAUCAGUCACACUGGAACUGAGACACGGUCCAGACUCCUACGGGAGGCAGCAGUGGGGAAUAUUGGACAAUGGGCGAAAGCCUGGUCCAGCCAUGCCGCGUGUGUGAAGAAGGUCUUCGGAUUGUAAAGCACUUUAAGUUGGGAGGAAGGGCAGUUACCUAAUACGUGAUUGUUUUGACGUUACCGACAGAAUAAGCACCGGCUAACUCUGUGCCAGCAGCCGCGGUAAUACAGAGGGUGCAAGCGUUAAUCGGAAUUACUGGGCGUAAAGCGCGCGUAGGUGGUUUGUUAAGUUGGGUGUGAAAUCCCCGGGCUCAACCUGGGAACUGCAUUCAAAACUGACUGACUAGAGUAUGGUAGAGGGUGGUGGAAUUUCCUGUGUAGCGGUGAAAUGCGUAGAUAUAGGAAGGAACACCAGUGGCGAAGGCGACCACCUGGACUGAUACUGACACUGAGGUGCGAAAGCGUGGGGAGCAAAC